Molecule: ribosomal RNA, 625 nt
Filed under: uncultured archaeon
Lineage: Archaea
Description: bacterial SSU rRNA
Rfam family: Archaeal small subunit ribosomal RNA
Source: RNAcentral
UGUAAGCGUAUCGUGUUGUGUGAGCAAGAGCCCUGAGUUGUAUUCUGAUACACGUAUUCCAGUCCUUUCGGGGCUCAGCAUGCUCGAAUUCUUUACAAUGCGGAUCACCGUUAUAGGGGAAUUCUGAGUGCCCUUUAUAUGCGGUCUGUCCAUGUGGUUUAAAUAUCCAGUUGAAUAAAGGUCCGGACAAGACCGGUGACAUCCGCCGCGUUAAUACCGUCGGUUCGAUUGUUGGCCAUUAUUACUGGGCUUAAAGCGUUCGUAGCUGUUUUUUUAAGUCUCUGGUGAAAUCUUCCGUUUUAAUCCGGAAGGUCUUUUCUAGGGAUAUUGGACAGACUAAGGGACCCGGGAGAUGUUGAGGGUAUACUCACAGGGUUAGUGAUUGAAAUCCCUGUAAUCCCUUGGGGGACCACCUGUGCCGAAGGCGCCUCACCAGAACGGCUCCGACAGUGAGGGACGAAAGUCUGGGUGAGCAAACCGGAUUAGAUACCCGGGUAGUCCCAGCUGUAAACGAUGUGCGUUAGGUGUAUCGGUGACCACGAGUCACCGAGGUGCCGAAGAGAAAUCGUGAAACGUACCGCCUGGGAAGUACGUUCGCAAGGCUGAAACUCAAAUGAAUUGACGG